This 225-nucleotide long non-coding RNA is filed under the name Elaeis guineensis (African oil palm). Its description in RNAcentral is "long non-coding RNA (EGUI_LNC031751)". Lineage: Eukaryota; Viridiplantae; Streptophyta; Magnoliopsida; Arecales; Arecaceae. The record is from RNAcentral.
GGUGAUGUUGUAUUUGCAAUAUAAUAGCGAAGGGCAGAUAGGAUUGAAUAGCCAAAAUACUCUAUUCUAAGCUUUUAAUUUGAUAACUAACUGUUUUAUGAGCAAACCAAAAACAUGCAAUAUACAUUGAGAAAUUUUGGUAAAUAAAAUUGAAGAUUCGAAUGACAAGAAAUGACCUUAUAACAUUAUACGUUAUAACAUCCAUACGAUAAAAAAUUAUUUCUU